AUUGAACGCUGGCGGCAUGCCUCACACAUGCAAGUCGAACGGCAGCACGGGAGCAAUCCUGGUGGCGAGUGGCGAACGGGUGAGUAAAGUAUCGGAACGUGCCCAGUCGUGGGGGAUAACGUAGCGAAAGUCACGCUAAUACCGCAUACGAUCUAUGGAUGAAAGCGGGGGAUCGCAAGACCUCGCGCGAUUGGAGCGGCAGAUAUCAGAUUAGGUAGUUGGUGGGGUAAAGGCUCACCAAGCCGACGAUCUGUAGCUGGUCUGAGAGGACGACCAGCCACACUGGGACUGAGACACGGCCCAGACUCCUACGGGAGGCAGCAGUGGGGAAUUUUGGACAAUGGGCGAAAGCCUGAUCCAGCCAUGCCGCGUGCAGGAUGAAGGCCUUCGGGUUGUAAACUGCUUUUGUACGGAACGAAAAGGUUUGGCCUAAUAAGCUGAGCUCAUGACGGUACCGUAAGAAUAAGCACCGGCUAACUACGUGCCAGCCGCCGCGGUAA
This 500-nucleotide ribosomal RNA is filed under the name uncultured bacterium. RNAcentral describes it as "partial 16S ribosomal RNA". It matches the Rfam family "Bacterial small subunit ribosomal RNA", at positions 30 to 523 of the family's 1533-position model. The record is from RNAcentral.